Molecule: ribosomal RNA, 440 nt
Filed under: uncultured bacterium
Lineage: Bacteria
Description: partial 16S ribosomal RNA
Rfam family: Bacterial small subunit ribosomal RNA
Source: RNAcentral
CCUACGGGUGGCAGCAGUGGGGAAUAUUGCACAAUGGGGGAAACCCUGAUGCAGCGACGCCGCGUGAGUGAAGAAGUAUUUCGGUAUGUAAAGCUCUAUCAGCAGGGAAGAUAAUGACGGUACCUGAGUAAGAAGCCCCGGCUAACUACGUGCCAGCAGCCGCGGUAAUACGUAGGGGGCAAGCGUUAUCCGGAUUUACUGGGGGGAAAGGGAGCGUAGACGGGAUGUGAAGUCUGAGGUGAAAGGCCGGGGCUCAACCGGGGGACAGCUUUGGAAACUGUGAAGCUGGAGUGCAGGAGAGGAAAGUGGAAUUCCUAGUGUAGCGGUGAAAUGCGUAGAUAUUAGGAGGAACACCAGUGGCGAAGGCGGCUUACUGGACUGUAACUGACGUUGAGGCACGAAAGCGUGGGGAGCAAACAGGAUUAGAUACCCGAGUAGUC